This 502-nucleotide ribosomal RNA is filed under the name uncultured bacterium. RNAcentral's name for it is "partial 16S ribosomal RNA". It matches the Rfam family "Bacterial small subunit ribosomal RNA", at positions 28 to 507 of the family's 1533-position model. The record is from RNAcentral.
GACGAACGCUGGCGGCGUGCUUAACACAUGCAAGUCGAACGGUGAAGGGGCCUGCUUUUGUGGGCCCUGGAUGAGUGGCGAACGGGUGAGUAACACGUGGGUAACCUGCCCCCUUCUUCUGGAUAACCGCAUGAAAGUGUGGCUAAUACGGGAUAUUCUGGGUCUGUCGCAUGAUGGGUCUGGGAAAGAUUGCGCCUUUGGGUGUUUUUGGUGGGGGAUGGGCUCGCGGCCUAUCAGCUUGUUGGUGGGGUGAUGGCCUACCAAGGCGGUGACGGGUAGCCGGCCUGAGAGGGUGGACGGUCACACUGGGACUGAGACACGGCCCAGACUCCUACGGGAGGCAGCAGUGGGGAAUAUUGCACAAUGGGCGCAAGCCUGAUGCAGCGACGCCGCGUGAGGGAGGGAGGCCUUCGGGUUGUAAACCUCUUUCGCCAGUGAAGCAGGCCUGCUCCUUGUGGGUGGGUUGGCGGUAGCUGGAUAAGAAGCGCCGGCUAACUACGUG